Oreochromis niloticus (Nile tilapia) is the source of this 224-nucleotide long non-coding RNA. RefSeq lists it as uncharacterized. The record is from RefSeq and is a predicted model, not a curated record. NCBI's taxonomy places the organism in Eukaryota, Metazoa, Chordata, Actinopteri, Cichliformes, Cichlidae. The transcript is spliced from 2 exons.
GAUUAAAUGAAGUCAAUGUAAAAUAAUUUCUUUAAAAAAAAAUUAAAAAAUAGGUCCAAGCAGCGUACUUGUGGUAAACAUUAUGUACAAAGUACUGGUUAUAGAGGUAAUAAAAGUCAUUUUUCAUACAAACAUUUGCAAAAAUUACCAUGAAUAGAACUGGUAUCAAGAACCAAUGAGGAAUCGGACAGAUAAGCAGAAGAGGAAGUGGCGUUAAUAAUAUC